UGGGGAAUUUUGGACAAUGGGCGAAAGCCUGAUCCAGCAAUGCCGCGUGUGUGAAGAAGGCCUUCGGGUUGUAAAGCACUUUUGUCCGGAAAGAAAUCCUUGGCUCUAAUACAGUCGGGGGAUGACGGUACCGGAAGAAUAAGCACCGGCUAACUACGUGCCAGCAGCCGCGGUAAUACGUAGGGUGCAAGCGUUAAUCGGAAUUACUGGGCGUAAAGCGUGCGCAGGCGGUUUGCUAAGACCGAUGUGAAAUCCCCGGGCUCAACCUGGGAACUGCAUUGGUGACUGGCAGGCUAGAGUAUGGCAGAGGGAGGUAGAAUUCCACGUGUAGCAGUGAAAUGCGUAGAGAUGUGGAGGAAUACCGAUGGCGAAGGCAGCCCCCCUGGGCCAAUACUGACGCUCAUGCACGAAAGCGUGGGGAGCAAACAGGAUUAGAUACCCUGGUAGUCCACGCCCUAAACGAUGUCAACUAGUUGUUGGGGAUUCAUUUCCUUAGUAACGUAGCUAACGCGUGAAGUUGACCGCCUGGGGAGUACGGUUCGCAAGAUUAAAACUCAAAGGAAUUGACGGGGGUC
This 575-nucleotide ribosomal RNA is filed under the name uncultured bacterium. RNAcentral's name for it is "partial 16S ribosomal RNA". It matches the Rfam family "Bacterial small subunit ribosomal RNA", at positions 355 to 921 of the family's 1533-position model. The record is from RNAcentral.